CCCUGCCUCUAUAGCAGGGGAAGGGAACACCUGGUCCACGGGCCAUAUAAGGCCAGUGAAAUCCUUUGGUCUGGCCCUGCCAAGGCAUUAGGAGUGAGUUAAUUAAAUGUUUGACCAAAUAUAGCAGGCUUAUGAUGAAGUUGAUAAUUUUGUAUGGCCUGUGAAUGAUGUUAUAAAUAUCCAAAAGGCCAUUGGCAGAAACAAGGU
Pipistrellus kuhlii (Kuhl's pipistrelle) is the source of this 207-nucleotide long non-coding RNA. RefSeq lists it as uncharacterized. Lineage: Eukaryota; Metazoa; Chordata; Mammalia; Chiroptera; Vespertilionidae. The record is from RefSeq and is a predicted model, not a curated record. The transcript has 3 exons.